AAAAAAGGUAAGCUACUAAGAGCGAAUGGUGGAUGCCUUGACUGGUAAAGGCGAUGAAGGACGUACUAGACUGCGAUAAGCUACGGGGAGCUGUCAAGAAGCUUUGAUCCGUAGAUUUCCGAAUGGGGCAACCCAAUGUAUAGAGAUAUACAUUACCUAUAUAGGAGCGAACGAGGGGAAUUGAAACAUCUUAGUACCCUCAGGAAAAGAAAUCAAUAGAGAUUGCGUCAGUAGCGGCGAGCGAAAGCGCAAGAGGGCAAACCCAGUGCUUGCACUGGGGGUUGUAGGACUGCAAUGUGCAAGAGGUGAGUUUAGCAGAACAUUCUGGAAAGUAUAGCCAUAGAGGGUGAUAGUCCCGUAUGCGAAAAACAAACCUUAGCUAGCAGUAUCCUGAGUAGGGCGGGACACGAGAAAUCCUGUCUGAAGCUGGGUCGACCACGAUCCAACCCUAAAUACUAAUACCAGAUCGAUAGUGCACAAGUACCGUGAGGGAAAGGUGAAAAGAACUGAGGUGAUCAGAGUGAAAUAGAACCUGAAACCAUUUGCUUACAAUCAUUCAGAGCCCUAUGUAGCAAUACAGGGUGAUGGACUGCCUUUUGCAUAAUGAGCCUGCGAGUUGUGGUGUCUGGCAAGGUUAAGCAAACGCGAAGCCGUAGCGAAAGCGAGUCUGAAUAGGGCGCUUAGUCAGAUGCUGCAGACCCGAAACGAAGUGAUCUAUCCAUGAGCAAGUUGAAGCUAGUGUAAGAACUAGUGGAGGACUGAACCCAUAGGCGUUGAAAAGCCCCGGGAUGACUUGUGGAUAGGGGUGAAAGGCCAAUCAAACUUCGUGAUAGCUGGUUCUCUCCGAAAUAUAUUUAGGUAUAGCGUUGUGUCGUAAUAUAAGGGGGUAGAGCACUGAAUGGGCUAGGGCAUACACCAAUGUACCAAACCCUAUCAAACUCCGAAUACCUUAUAUGUAAUCACAGCAGUCAGGCGGCGAGUGAUAAAAUCCGUCGUCAAGAGGGAAACAACCCAGACUACCAGCUAAGGUCCCUAAAUCUUACUUAAGUGGAAAACGAUGUGAAGUUACUUAAACAACCAGGAGGUUGGCUUAGAAGCAGCCAUCCUUUAAAGAAAGCGUAAUAGCUCACUGGUCUAGUGAUUUUGCGCGGAAAAUAUAACGGGGCUAAAGUAAGUACCGAAGCUGUAGACUUGAUUUUAUCAAGUGGUAGGAGAGCGUUCUAUUUGCGUCGAAGGUAUACCGGUAAGGAGUGCUGGAGCGAAUAGAAGUGAGCAUGCAGGCAUGAGUAGCGAUAAUUAAUGUGAGAAUCAUUAACGCCGUAAACCCAAGGUUUCCUACGCGAUGCUCGUCAUCGUAGGGUUAGUCGGGUCCUAAGUCGAGUCCGAAAGGGGUAGACGAUGGCAAAUUGGUUAAUAUUCCAAUACCAACAUUAGUGUGCGAUGGAAGGACGCUUAGGGCUAAGGGGGCUAGCGGAUGGAAGUGCUAGUCUAAGGUCGUAGGAGGUUAUACAGGCAAAUCCGUAUAACAAUACUCCGAGAACUGAAAGGCUUUUUGAAGUCUUCGGAUGGAUAGAAGAACCCCUGAUGCCGUCGAGCCAAGAAAAGUUUCUAAGUUUAGCUAAUGUUGCCCGUACCGUAAACCGACACAGGUGGGUGGGAUGAGUAUUCUAAGGCGCGUGGAAGAACUCUCUUUAAGGAACUCUGCAAAAUAGCACCGUAUCUUCGGUAUAAGGUGUGGUUCGCUUCGUAUUAGGAUUUACUCCGAAAGCGAAGAAACUUACAACAAAGAGUCCCUCCCGACUGUUUACCAAAAACACAGCACUCUGCUAACUCGUAAGAGGAUGUAUAGGGUGUGACGCCUGCCCGGUGCUCGAAGGUUAAUUGAUGGGGUUAGCAUUAGCGAAGCUCUUGAUCGAAGCCCGAGUAAACGGCGGCCGUAACUAUAACGGUCCUAAGGUAGCGAAAUUCCUUGUCGGUUAAAUACCGACCUGCAUGAAUGGCGUAACGAGAUGGGAGCUGUCUCAAAGAGGGAUCCAGUGAAAUUGUAGUGGAGGUGAAAAUUCCUCCUACCCGCGGCAAGACGGAGAGACCCCGUGGACCUUUACUACAGCUUGACACUGCUACUUGGAUAAGAAUGUGCAGGAUAGGUGGGAGGCUUUGAGUAUAUGACGCCAGUUGUAUAUGAGCCAUUGUUGAGAUACCACUCUUUCUUAUUUGGGUAGCUAACCAGCUUGAGUUAUCCUCAAGUGGGACAAUGUCUGGUGGGUAGUUUGACUGGGGCGGUCGCCUCCCAAAUAAUAACGGAGGCUUACAAAGGUUGGCUCAGAACGGUUGGAAAUCGUUCGUAGAGUAUAAAGGUAUAAGCCAGCUUAACUGCAAGACAUACAAGUCAAGCAGAGACGAAAGUCGGUCUUAGUGAUCCGGUGGUUCUGUGUGGAAGGGCCAUCGCUCAAAGGAUAAAAGGUACCCCGGGGAUAACAGGCUGAUCUCCCCCAAGAGCUCACAUCGACGGGGAGGUUUGGCACCUCGAUGUCGGCUCAUCGCAUCCUGGGGCUGGAGCAGGUCCCAAGGGUAUGGCUGUUCGCCAUUUAAAGCGGUACGCGAGCUGGGUUCAGAACGUCGUGAGACAGUUCGGUCCCUAUCUGCCGUGGGCGUAAGAAGAUUGAAGAGAUUUGACCCUAGUACGAGAGGACCGGGUUGAACAAACCACUGGUGUAGCUGUUGUUCUGCCAAGAGCAUCGCAGCGUAGCUAAGUUUGGAAAGGAUAAACGCUGAAAGCAUCUAAGCGUGAAGCCAACUCUAAGAUGAAUCUUCUCUAAGCUCUCUAGAAGACUACUAGUUUGAUAGGCUGGGUGUGUAAUGGAUGAAAGUCCUUUAGCUGACCAGUACUAAUAGAGCGUUUGGCUUAUCUUUAAUAAAGCAU
RNAcentral lists this ribosomal RNA (2923 nucleotides) under Campylobacter coli. RNAcentral's name for it is "23S ribosomal RNA". It matches the Rfam family "Bacterial large subunit ribosomal RNA". The record is from RNAcentral. Lineage: Bacteria; Pseudomonadati; Campylobacterota; Epsilonproteobacteria; Campylobacterales; Campylobacteraceae.